CGGCAUGCCUUACACAUGCAAGUCGAACGGCAGCGACGGGAGCAAUCCUGGUGGCGAGUGGGCGAAACGGGUGAGUAAUAUAUCGGAACGUGCCCAGUCGUGGGGGAUAACGUAGCGAAAGUUACGCUAAUACCGCAUACGAUCUAUGGAUGAAAGCGGGGGAUCGCAAGACCUCGCGCGAUUGGAGCGGCCGAUAUCAGAUUAGGUAGUUGGUGAGGUAAAGGCUCACCAAGCCGACGAUCUGUAUCUGGUCUGAGAGGACGACCAGCCACACUGGGACUGAGACACGGCCCAGACUCCUACGGGAGGCAGCAGUGGGGAAUUUUGGACAAUGGGCGCAAGCCUGAUCCAGCAAUGCCGCGUGCAGGAUGAAGGCCUUCGGGUUGUAAACUGCUUUGUACGGAACGAAACGGUGAGCUCUAAUACAGUUUGCUAAUGACGGUACCGUAAGAAUAAGCACCGGCUAACUACGUG
RNAcentral lists this ribosomal RNA (474 nucleotides) under uncultured bacterium. RNAcentral's name for it is "bacterial SSU rRNA". It matches the Rfam family "Bacterial small subunit ribosomal RNA", at positions 40 to 507 of the family's 1533-position model. The record is from RNAcentral.